AGCAGUAGCCGCGGGAAUACGAAGGGGGCUAGCGUUGUUCGGAUUUACUGGGCGUAAAGGGCGCGUAGGCGGACUGAUAAGUCAGGGGUGAAAUCCCAAGGCUCAACCUUGGAACUGCCUUUGAUACUGUUUGUCUUGAGUUCGAGAGAGGUAAGUGGAACUGCGAGUGUAGAGGUGAAAUUCGUAGAUAUUCGCAAGAACACCAGUGGCGAAGGCGGCUUACUGGCUCGAUACUGACGCUGAGGCGCGAAAGCGUGGGGAGCAAACAGGAUUAGAUACCCCCGUAGUCCCUGUCUCUUAUAC
RNAcentral lists this ribosomal RNA (303 nucleotides) under uncultured bacterium. RNAcentral's name for it is "partial 16S ribosomal RNA". It matches the Rfam family "Bacterial small subunit ribosomal RNA", at positions 507 to 807 of the family's 1533-position model. The record is from RNAcentral.